This 1533-nucleotide long non-coding RNA is filed under the name Volvox carteri. RNAcentral describes it as "long non-coding RNA (VCAR_LNC004083)". The record is from RNAcentral. Lineage: Eukaryota; Viridiplantae; Chlorophyta; Chlorophyceae; Chlamydomonadales; Volvocaceae.
CAACGACUAACGGUUGCAUUUAAGUGCGAACAGCAGUUAAAACCCUAAGCUUGCGGCCCAGACUUACCGUGCACGAUACCGUGCUAAGGCGCCUCACGUACGUCCCAAAUCGAAUUCGUCAAUGCAACCUCCGAACGGCAUUAUGCCACGAAACCCCACAAGAACAUCCGUCCAUGCAAGCCCACAAACCAAAUUGUGCCAGGCCAUGUCCCCCAAACCGCAUCAUGCCAGGCCAUGUCCCCCAACCCGCAUCAUGCCAGGCCAUGUCCCCCAAACCCGCAUCAUGCCAGGCCAUGCCCCCCAAACCGCAUCAUGCCAGGCCAUGUCCCCCGAACCACAUCAUGCCAGGCCAUGUCCCCCAAACCCGCAUCAUGCCAGGCCAUGCCCCCCAAUCACAUCAUGCCAGGCCAUGCCCCCCAGUCACAUCAUGCCAGGCCAUGCACCCCAAAUCGCGUUGUGCAAGGCCAUGCCCCCCAAACCGCAUCAUGCCAGGCCAUGUCCCCCAAACCCGCAUUAUGCCAGGCCAUGCCCCCCAAACCGCAUCAUGCCAGGCCAUGCCCCCUAAUCGCAUCAUGCCAGGCCAUGCCCCCCAAUCACAUCAUGCCAGGCCAUGCCCCCCAAUCACAUCAUGCCAGGCCAUGCCCCCCAAUCACAUCAUGCCAGGCCAUGCCCCCAAGUCGCAUUGUGCCAGGCCAUGCCCCCAAGUCGCAUUGUGCUAGGCAAAACCCCAAACCGCACUGCGCCCGGCCACCCCAGGCCCCGACAGCAUCCGCCCAGGUACCUCCCAGAUCAUUUUGCAUGGGCCCAUUACUGGAAGUUCAGUUGCGCAAGUCCUCGUGCUGCAUUGAUUCCAUUUGACCGUCCAACCGAAACCGUUGGUCAUUAUUAACGUUGACCACUCGAUCGUUUACAGAACUGCUGUAUUCGCCACUUAUUGAUAUUUUUAUUAUUAACCGUUAUACGGCCUGUAUGGCGUUUACUGUACGACACCAUUCGUUCGGUCAUUGCUCGUAGUUGGCGCUGCAUGCAGCCAACAAGUUAUCAAGCCAACAAGAAUGGCGGCAACUGAUGAUGAUGACCAUGAUUAUAAUGAUGACGAUGAUGAUGAUGAUGAUGAUGAUCAUGAUGAUCAUGAUGCCGAUGGCCUUUACAGCAGUUGAUAGUUGCGGCUAUAUGCCGCCGCCGCCGCCGCCGCCGCUAGCCAACUGGCCAGCAGCGGCGGCACCCGGCUGGGUGCAGCUGGGUGCGGAAGAAUUGCACCCAGCAGUGCACCUGAAAGAAAAGGGACAAGGCGGGGGAAGGGCGCGGGAAGUCAAAAUAUGGUUAGCAGUACGACACAACUAACACACACAUAAUUAGGUGACAGUUGCAAGCAAGGGUACCGCUGCUGGUCCCCACGACGCACACCCCAUGCACCAAAACCCCAAGCCCAUCCGCACCCACCUCAGCCGGGUCCAUCAUCAACAACGCCCGCUCGGUGCCACUGGGGCGCACAGGUUGAUGCCCCAGCCGCACCUGAAGAGGAGGUGCGUG